RNAcentral lists this long non-coding RNA (496 nucleotides) under Elaeis guineensis (African oil palm). RNAcentral's name for it is "long non-coding RNA (EGUI_LNC080719)". The record is from RNAcentral. Lineage: Eukaryota; Viridiplantae; Streptophyta; Magnoliopsida; Arecales; Arecaceae.
AUGAAUCGCAUCACAGAUUCUAGACAAAAAAAGAAAAAAAAUCACAAACACAUCAAACGCACUCAACACCAUAAAGCAGUUCUCCAUCUAACAGAAAACAAAAAGGAAGAUCAAGAAAAUGCAUGAAGGUUAAAAGGGUAAAGAAGGAGAGAUGAAAAGACGAAGGCAGAUGAGGAGACUGACCUCCGAUGCCGAGAUUGGCGGCGAGGAGAAGCGGCACGAUGCGACGAAGGAAGCCCUUCUUCGCCGCAGAUGGAGGCGGAGGAGUCGAGGCAGCACUAGAAGAAGACAUGGACGACGAGGAGGAGGCAACGAGACUCGGGUUGGGGAGUAGGAGGCCCGCUUCGACUUUCCUCGCUGCAGCAAAGGGAACCAAGAUCUAUCAAGCUUCUUUUCCUCCGCAGAGAGGCACUUCUGCCGGCCAUCGGGGUUCUCUCUCUCUCUCUAUAUAUAUAUAUAUACAUGGUUAGGAGGAAAAAUAACUUUAAAUACUGAA